This 73-nucleotide transfer RNA is filed under the name Anaerolineae bacterium. Its description in RNAcentral is "tRNA-Asp". It matches the Rfam family "tRNA". Rfam says of the family: Transfer RNA (tRNA) molecules are approximately 80 nucleotides in length. Their secondary structure includes four short double-helical elements and three loops (D, anti-codon, and T loops). The record is from RNAcentral. RNAcentral also lists the same sequence under 1 other name. Lineage: Bacteria; Bacillati; Chloroflexota; Anaerolineae.
GGGGGCGUGGUGUAGUGGUUAACACGUCGGCCUGUCAAGCCGAAGAUCGCGGGUUCAAGUCCCGUCGCUCCCG